GUACACGCUGUGACUAGCAUAUCAAUAAGCGGAGGAAAAGAAACUAACAAGGAUUCCCCUAGUAACGGCGAGUGAAGCGGGAAGAGCUCAAAUUUGAAAUCUUAAAGGGUUUCCCUUUACGAAUUGUAGUUUAAAGAAGUGUUUUCUGUUGAGGUUUUGGUAAAAGUUCUUUGGAAUAGGACAUCAUAGAGGGUGAGAAUCCCGUAUUUGACCUUUACUUUCAACUUUGUGAUACACUUUCAAAGAGUCGGAUUGUUUGGGAAUGCAGUCCAAAAUGGGUGGUAAAUUUCAUCUAAAGCUAAAUAUUGGCGAGAGACCGAUAGCGAACAAGUACCGUGAGGGAAAGAUGAAAAGAACUUUGAAAAGAGAGUUAAACAGUACGUGAAAUUGUCAAAAGGGAAGCGUUUGACACCAGUGUUGUUUUUCUGAAAAUCAAUUAAAGAACUGUUUAUGCUAAGCUGUUUAGACUUUAUCAGCUAUCUGUUUAGUUUUGAGCUUUUCUUUAAUGCACUUUUCAGUUAACAAGUCAACAUCAAUUCCUUUUGCUGUAAAAAAGCUUGAGGAAGGUGGCUUGAGAUUCGUCUUAAGUGUUUAUAGCCUCUUGCCUAUGCAGUCGGAGAGACUGAGGUCUGCAGCGUAGAUCCUUCGGGGCUAAAUGCAUUUGUGCUAAGUUAUAGCAUUUUAUAGACAACUUGUUGACUACGAUUUGUCUUGUAGCUUACUCGCUUAUGUUAUUUUACCUACGCUUAGGAUGUUGAAGUCAUCGUAUCGCGC
RNAcentral lists this ribosomal RNA (774 nucleotides) under uncultured Neocallimastigales. Its description in RNAcentral is "partial large subunit ribosomal RNA". It matches the Rfam family "Eukaryotic large subunit ribosomal RNA", at positions 22 to 645 of the family's 3401-position model. The record is from RNAcentral. Lineage: Eukaryota; Fungi; Neocallimastigomycota; Neocallimastigomycetes; Neocallimastigales.